RNAcentral lists this ribosomal RNA (297 nucleotides) under Triticum aestivum (bread wheat). RNAcentral describes it as "partial small subunit ribosomal RNA". Lineage: Eukaryota; Viridiplantae; Streptophyta; Magnoliopsida; Poales; Poaceae. The record is from RNAcentral.
AACGUUCCAGCAGAAUUCUACCAACAUUGUUGGGAGAUUGUUAAAAAUGAUAUUAUGAGGCUUUUUGAGGCCAUGUAUGAGGGAACACUUGAUGUUCAAAGAUUAAAUUACGGGAUCAUUACUUUGAUUCCUAAGAUCAAUGGUGCGAACAAAAUUCAACAGUUUAGGCCUAUUUGCUUGCUUAGAUGCCCAUAUAAGUUGAUCACAAAGGUGUUGGAUCACAGAGCAGCCUCCUAUGCUGACAUCUUGUUUAGCAAGCACCAAAACGCCUUUAUUAAACACAGAAAUAUCAUGGAU